This 445-nucleotide ribosomal RNA is filed under the name uncultured bacterium. RNAcentral's name for it is "bacterial SSU rRNA". It matches the Rfam family "Bacterial small subunit ribosomal RNA", at positions 354 to 796 of the family's 1533-position model. The record is from RNAcentral.
GUAGGGAAUAUUGGGCAAUGGAGGCAACUCUGACCCAGCCAUGCCGCGUGCAGGAAGACGGUCCUCUGGAUUGUAAACUGCUUUUGAAUGGGAAGAAACGUAGCUUUGCGAAGCUAUUUGACGGUACUAUUAGAAUAAGCACCGGCUAACUCCGUGCCAGCAGCCGCGGUAAUACGGAGGGUGCAAGCGUUAUCCGGAUUUAUUGGGUUUAAAGGGUGCGUAGGCGGCUUUAUAAGUCUGGGGUUAAAGGCGGCAGCUUAACUGUACGCAUGCCCUGGAAACUGUGAAGCUUGAGUGACUUGGAGGUAGCUAGAAUUCCCUGUGUAGCGGUGAAAUGCAUAGAUACGGGGAGGAAUACCGAUUGCGAAGGCAUGUUACUACGAGUAAACUGACGCUGAUGCACGAAAGCGUGGGGAUCAAACAGGAUUAGAUACCCCGGUAGUCC